AGUCUUGCUCCAGGAUGGAGUACAGUGGUGUGAUCUUGGUUCACUGCAAAACCUCCGCUUCCCGGGUUCAAGCGAUUCUCCUGCCUCAGCUUCCCCAGUAGCUGGGACUACAGGCUCCAACAAAGGGCCGGUGGGGCAGGUCGACCAAGCACCCCGCGGCUCCCGCUGCGUAGCGCUGCGCCCCGGCCCCGACGCGGCCGCCCACGUCCGGACCCAUCUGGAGGCUCCGCUCGCCACUACGCGGUAGCAGCCGGGGCAGGUGGGCAGGCGCCAGGCUGAGGUGGCGCCCAAGACGCGGCUGAGCUCGCCCAGAGUGGGCAGCAGUAGCCAGAGGAAGACGCUGCCGUCGUCGGGCCCCAGCGCCAGCACCAGCGACCCGGGCGGGCGAGGGGCGGGGGCAGCCACCUAGCCCAGACCACCGCGGCCCCGAGCAUGGUCAACAAAGUGGUGCACGACCAUGACUCCGAUUAUCGGGAGGAGCUGGAAGACAACGACAAGGACGCCAGUUACUACACGGAAAGCAGCUUCAGGAGCCGUAGUACCUACAGCAGCACUCCAGGUACCCACCCAGAUGUCAGCCCUGCCCCAAGAAUCGACUGAAAAUUUGACUCCAUUCCUGGACCGGGAUUCAGCUGGGUUGCCCCUGGGGCCAGAGCAGUUCUUGGCUGCACACCAGGAUUUAAAUGACAAGCUGACUCCAGAAGAAAGGCUCCCAGAGGU
This 720-nucleotide long non-coding RNA is filed under the name Piliocolobus tephrosceles (Ugandan red Colobus). Its description in RNAcentral is "lncRNA (ENSPTEG00000023904.1)". Lineage: Eukaryota; Metazoa; Chordata; Mammalia; Primates; Cercopithecidae. The record is from RNAcentral.